CCUACGGGAGGCAGCAGUAGGGAAUAUUGCUCAAUGGGGGAAACCCUGACGCAGCACCGCCGCGUGGAGGAAGAAGGUUUUCGGAUUGUAAACUCCUUUUGUUAGAGAAGAUAAUGACGUUAUCUAACGAAUAAGCACCGUCUAACUCCGUGCCAGCAGCCGCGGUAAUACGGAGGGUGCAAGCGUUACUCGGAAGCACUGGGCGUAAAGAGCGCGUAGGCGGGAUAGUAAGUCAGUUGUUAAAUCCUAUGGCUAAAACAUAGAACAGCAGUUGAAACUGUUAUUCUAGAGUAUGGGAGAGGUAGGUGGAAUGCUUGGUGUAGGGGUAAAAUCCGUAGAGAUCAAGAGGAAUACUCAUUGCGAAGGCGACCUGCUAGAACAUAACUGACGCUGAUGCGCGAAAGCGUGGGGAGCAAACAGGAUUAGAUACCCGGGUAGUC
Molecule: ribosomal RNA, 440 nt
Filed under: uncultured bacterium
Lineage: Bacteria
Description: partial 16S ribosomal RNA
Rfam family: Bacterial small subunit ribosomal RNA
Source: RNAcentral